GAUGAACGCUGGCGGCGUGCCUAAUACAUGCAAGUCGAGCGAACAGACGAGGAGCUUGCUCCUCUGACGUUAGCGGCGGACGGGUGAGUAACACGUGGAUAACCUACCUAUAAGACUGGGAUAACUUCGGGAAACCGGAGCUAAUACCGGAUAAUAUAUUGAACCGCAUGGUUCAAUAGUGAAAGACGGUUUUGCUGUCACUUAUAGAUGGAUCCGCGCCGCAUUAGCUAGUUGGUAAGGUAACGGCUUACCAAGGCAACGAUGCGUAGCCGACCUGAGAGGGUGAUCGGCCACACUGGAACCGAGACACGGUCCAGACUCCUACGGGAGGCAGCCGUAGGGAAUCUUCCCCAAUGGGCGAAAGCCUGAAGGAGCAACGCCGCGGGAGUGAUGAAGGUUUUCGGAUCGUAAAACCCUUUUAUUAGGGAAGAACCAAUGUGUAAGUAACUAUGCACGUCUUGAAGGUACCUAAUCAGAAAGCCACGGCUAACUACGUG
Molecule: ribosomal RNA, 497 nt
Filed under: uncultured bacterium
Lineage: Bacteria
Description: partial 16S ribosomal RNA
Rfam family: Bacterial small subunit ribosomal RNA
Source: RNAcentral